GGGGAUUUAGCUCAGCACCUGCAUAAGCACCUGCCUUGCAAGCAGGCAGUCGUGAGUUCAAUCCCCG
RNAcentral lists this transfer RNA (67 nucleotides) under Cavia porcellus (domestic guinea pig). It matches the Rfam family "tRNA". From Rfam's summary of the family: Transfer RNA (tRNA) molecules are approximately 80 nucleotides in length. Their secondary structure includes four short double-helical elements and three loops (D, anti-codon, and T loops). The record is from Rfam by way of RNAcentral. Lineage: Eukaryota; Metazoa; Chordata; Mammalia; Rodentia; Caviidae.